This 336-nucleotide unclassified non-coding RNA is filed under the name soil metagenome. RNAcentral describes it as "partial contains 5.8S ribosomal RNA, internal transcribed spacer 2, and large subunit ribosomal RNA". The stretch from base 1 to 120 matches the Rfam family "5.8S ribosomal RNA", at positions 35 to 154 of the family's 154-position model. The record is from RNAcentral.
GAUGAAGAACGUAGCGAAAUGCGAUAAGUAAUGUGAAUUACAGAAUUCAGUGAAUCAUCGAAUCUUUGAACGCACAUUGCGCCCGCCAGUAUUCUGGCGGGCAUGCCUGUUCGAGCGUCAUUUCGACCAUCAAGCCCCAGGCUUGUGUUGGGGACCUGCGGCUGCCGCAGGCCCUGAAAACCAGUGGCGGGCUCGCUGUCACACCGGGCGUAGUAGAUUUUAUCUCGCUCAGGGCGUGCUGCGGGUUCCGGCCGUUAAAAAGCCUUUUUUACCCAAGGUUGACCUCGGAUCAGGUAGGAAGACCCGCUGAACUUAAGCAUAUCAAUAAGCGGAGGA